ACCUAGCGGCGGACGGGUGAGUAAUGCUUAGGAAUCUGCCUAUUAGUGGGGGACAACAUUCCGAAAGGAAUGCUAAUACCGCAUACGUCCUACGGGAGAAAGCAGGGGAUCUUCGGACCUUGCGCUAAUAGAUGAGCCUAAGUCGGAUUAGCUAGUUGGUGGGGUAAAGGCCUACCAAGGCGACGAUCUGUAGCGGGUCUGAGAGGAUGAUCCGCCACACUGGGACUGAGACACGGCCCAGACUCCUACGGGAGGCAGCAGUGGGGAAUAUUGGACAAUGGGCGGAACCCUGAUCCAGCCAUGCCGCGUGUGUGAAGAAGGCCUUAUGGUUGUAAAGCACUUUAAGCGAGGAGGAGGCUACUCUAGUUAAUACCUAGGGAUAGUGGACGUUACUCGCAGAAUAAGCACCGGCUAACUCUGUGCCAGCAGCCGCGGUAAUACAGAGGGUGCGAGCGUUAAUCGGAUUUACUGGGCGUAAAGCGUGCGUAGGCGGCUUUUUAAGUCGGAUGUGAAAUCCCCGAGCUUAACUUGGGAAUUGCAUUCGAUACUGGGAAGCUAGAGUAUGGGAGA
RNAcentral lists this ribosomal RNA (570 nucleotides) under bacterium YPRT. RNAcentral describes it as "bacterial SSU rRNA". It matches the Rfam family "Bacterial small subunit ribosomal RNA", at positions 90 to 655 of the family's 1533-position model. The record is from RNAcentral.